UCACCUCUGACCACACAGUGGGUGGCAGCAGUAAUGCUGCCCCUUCUGCCAUACCUGUUAGCACCAUGGCAGUGCUCGUGGGCAUGAAAUCUCUGCAGCAAACAUUACAAGACCUGUGUGUGUGAGAGAGCUGCACUUCUGUCACCACAGCAAGAGGAACAGUGUGUGACAGCAGCUGGGGUCUGAAGAUCAAGACUGCUCCCACCCAGAUUAGAGGCUUGAGAGUAACACUCUUUGCCAGGUGAGGCUGGGGUGGGCAUACCAGACUCCAGUCAGCCGGUGCCACCCCAGGCUGCCCCUCUCCUUGGGGCCAUCAGCAGAGUGUGUGCUGAUGGUCUGCAAAGCACUGGCAUGGAUGUCCAAUGGACAGUGCUGGCGCCAGACUCUGUGCCGGAGGAAGUGAAUCUAGGUCACAGAUCCUCUUUGAGAACAAGUACAUCUGAUGCUGCCAAGGGAAACAAACUGGCAGGAGAAAGGGGAACAAACCAGCUUGAAAGCAACAGGAGAUUGUGGAGAAGUAACUCAGUGACUGAAACAAGGAUAUUCUAGGAAGGCUUACGGUUCUGCGCUGGAAGAGGUAUUUCCAGGAAGGAAGAAGAGAAGAAGGAGGAAGAUGUUUGGUUUGCUGGGCAGCUUGUUCUUCCCCAUGGUGCAGAGCAGGUCGUGACUGCUGAAAACUGAAACCAAAAACCAAUCUGAAUGGACAUAUGCAAAGUACAAUUUAACGGGAAGACUUAACAGGAACAAAGCCAGAGAGCAUCUUCACAUCAAUAAUGAGCAUGUUGGAGCUGCUGCGCUUCCCUGUGUAACUGAAACAACAGGGGCAUCCGUCAGUGUGGAUCAUACUUGGAGAACCAAACUUUAGCUCCCUGCUCCUGCCUUCAUACAGCGUGGAGAGGAUGGUGUGAAUCACAUGCACUUGCUGACUGGCUCAGGUGGGAGACACUGGUGAGGCCCCGGUGUGAAGGGGCCAAGUAUGUGCUACCACCAUCAGUUACUGUCACGAGGUCUUUUGGGAUAUUGUGUCUUACAGGCUGAUAUCAUCAACAUAUUGAUUGGUUCAUGUUUCUUGACUUCAUAAGCAGAACUGAAAACACACAGCAAUGUUCUCUGUGUAUCUUGUCAUCUGUGCAGCUGGUUUGUUGCUGGUGCAUUACCUGCUUGUGAGGACAAUAUCGAAUUUUGCUGGUCGAUCUGGUGGGCAGGAAGCAUUUGAUGUCUCUACAGAAAGCAGAAAUCCAAAGGCCCCCUUUGGAAGGUGAAUGUUGUAUCUCAGUGUUGUCUGGAAGAGAAAAAACCCUUUUGUUCAAGCAUGCCAAGGAUUUUCUUUGUAUUAAAAAAACACAAGUGUCAGACUUAUGAACUUUUCUGGCAAUGUUGCACUUGGUUUUAUGUGGAAGAUCCUUGCUUACAUCCAUGAUGAACACAUCAGACUUCUGCUCUUUAACAAUGAAGGUGCUUGUAUGCAGAAUCACCUCUGAGAAAGAAACUAGAUGCUGAAGAGAAAGGACUCUUUUUCAAUGCCAUAACUCUGCAGGAGUCAAAAUGUGGGAUGGGGAAAAGAGUAUUUUAUGGUUUAGGGAAAUUAAGGAAUUAGGAAAAAUAAAGAGAAGUCAGCUAGAAAAUCAUCAAAACUGUGGCUGUAUUGUAUACAAAAAGCGAGGUACAAUGAAGAGAAGAGCAGGCAUUUACCUGCAUAAAUACGCAUCCACUGCCAUUCACUUUUAGGCUGUAUUUCCCAGGGACCUCAGGAAGGGGAGUCUGUUGCAGCAGGAGCCUGUUCUCAUUGUUGACAAUAAAUACCUUCUCAAAAGGCUUUUUGGAAGUGAUCUUCACUCUGUUUUGUGUAGCAGAGUUGUAGAUGGCCUCACCAUAAGCAGCAAGGGCUUGAAGAGCAAUGACUGUGUCCUGAAGAAAAAGAAAAUAAUAAAAGACAAUUAGCUACGCGGCAUGACCAGUGCAGAGGAGAUCAAAGUCACAAUUCCAGUCGCUUCAUCCUGGCUAAAGAAAACCUGAAUCUGUGCAUAGUUCCAUGGUUCCCAUACAAAAGGAGCCAUUUCUUUCUGUCAUAUAUGUUUUAGGGUGGAAGAAAUCUCUCUCCCCAUACAAAGGUUUCAGAACAUAAAAUCUGAGCACUAGAGCACACUUCCAGAGUUUUUCGUAGUGGUGAAUCCUGUGUUUUCUGGGGAACUGCACAGCACUUGUUGGUCAUAUAACAGCUGGAACUUGGUGUUUUCUAGGCUCAUCCCUGCUAAAAAUAUCUGUAUUUGUUGCUAGACAAAUUACUCUUGUAUGGCUUUCACCAUUUUAUAGUUAAGAAGAGAGGGAAAAAUAGUAGUUUGGUUUCUCUAAGAGAGAGGUGUUUGGUCUCUGUGUGUUUUAGAUGGCAGAUGGAGAAGCAAAAUAAGAAUAGGUAGUCAAAGCCUUGCUGGAACCCUGAAACAGUGUCCCAAUUCCUAGGACUGGGUGGAGAGUGGAAAGUAAUUUUGGCACCUGCGUAGAAGAGAAACCUCCAUAGGGAUUCUGCUGCCUUAUGAUCCACUGCACAAUCCUCGAGGCCUUUGUGAAAUCCUCUUUAUCCCAGCUGGGUUUGUAGAACAAUGCCAACAACACGUAACUGGUGAUCUCAACUUCAGCUGAUGGGGCGUGGUCAAGGAAGGAGGGAGAUUCUUCUGAUGGAGACCUCUCCUCCUGCUCCCAGUGCUGUGAGCCAUCUGAAUAAGCAAAGAGAGGCUGAGAAGCAACCAAAAUUGAUUACAGGUGCCACUGCUCUAUGCUGCCUCAGAGGCUUAACUGUGUCCUAACCUCUUCCUCAAAAGUUCUCUCUGAAGACCAGUGGAUGUACUGUAGAUUAACUCCAUAGAUUAUUUGCGGAAUUUAUUUCAUGUGCCCAUACUCUCAAUAUUGUCAAGGUUAGAUUCCAAAACUCUGAAAAUGACUGAAACUCACCAACUUCCUUUGCUGAUUUCUGUAACUCUUCAAGGAAUGAUUCACAUUUUUCUGCCUUGCCAGCUAAGCAGAAAGCAUAGGCCAUGAGUGCCUGAGUGUAAACAUCACUGAUACUCUUCUCAGAUGCAGUCUCCAGACAAAAAAAGGCAUUUCGGAUUACAUAAUCCUUAAAACCAAAAAGCACAUGGGUCUAAUUCAGGACAGUAGUUUGCACCUGGUCAAAAAAUUUAUUUUCUUUAAAACUGUUCUUCAUCCUGUCGCUAUCACAGCAAUGAGAAUGGAACUUCAGCUUGUAUAAUGACUUCAGGAGAGAGAACAGAGAAGUCUUCAAGGAAGAUUUUAAUGGGAAACAUCAGACAAAUCAAGUACUGCUAAUCAUGUUCUUGAAGAGAAAACGAACAGAGUGGGAGUGGGAACCAAGGGAGAAAAUUACAUAGACAUCUCCCAGAGGGGAAAAAACAAACCACUUGAAAGACAAUAUCUUCUGUCCCUUCAGUGCUACUGGGAAGAUUCUACAGGAACAAAACCUGAGAGCAUCUUCACAUCAAUAAUAGCCAUAUUGGAGACUUUACGCUUUCCUGUGUAACUAAAAUGAGAAAAGUUCUGUUAGUCUGGUCUGCAAACAGAAAGGAAAUCAAUGAAUGACAUUUUCAGUUUCCAAUAAUCCCGAUUUUCUUCCUAUAGCUGCACAGUAGCAGUUAACUGCCCAUAUUUAAAUCCUUUCUUGCAUGAUUUACAAAACUGUGAAUGCCAAGAGGAUAGAUGAAUGAAAGGAAGUUACCUGGCAAAGAGGACAAGGUCAAACUUGGGUGGAUAGUUGCUUGUGCAAGAUACAUUUGCUGUCCUUAUGGAGAGAGAAAAUCCUGCAACUUUAUUUGGCAAAUGGAUGUUGUAUCUCAGGGUUGUCUAAAAGAGAUGGAAAGUGUGAGAUGGUCACAGACUUAAAAGGGUUUUGUGUCUUUGGCAUGACAUAUGCAGAGGAAACAAUUAUGGAGAACCCCCUGCUUAUAUCUCAGAGAGGUGGUGCUGAGUUUCCAGCUUGCUUACCUGCAGAUAAACACAGCCAGUGCCAUUCACUUCCACACUGUAAUUCCCUGGAAUAGUGGUCAAGGAAGCCUGCUGCAGUAAGAAGCGGUUCUUGUCAUUCACCUGGAAAAUCCUACUGGAGGACUCCAUGGAGUGGACUUUGACUGUGUUAAGAUUUGUUUUUGAGAAGGUGAGGUAUCCGUACUGGGCUAAAGCUUGGAGAGCAACAACAGUGUCCUGAAAAGAGAACAAUCCCUAAUUAGAUAACUAAAUGUAAGAUGAGAUUAGCGCAGCUCCUAUUUCCUUGAUACUUUGUCAGUGCUCAUAAGUGGAGAGGGGCUUGGCAAAGAGCUCAGGAGACAAGAUACAAGUUUCUUGUAGAACUUGUACUGGUGGACAAAAAGCUAAGCCUAAGCCAGCAGUGUGUCCUGGUAACCAAGGCACAUUAGGAAGAGCUUUGCCAGCAGGUCAAGGGAGCCAAUCCUGCCUGUCUACUCAGCUUUAGUGAGACACAUCUGGAGUGCUGUGUCCAGUUCUCAGCUCCUCAGUAAAGAGAGACAUGGAGCUCCUGGAGCAGAUCCAAAGAAGGAUGACAAAGAUGAUUAAAGGAAUAAAGCAUCUCUUCUAAGGAAAGGCUGAAGGAGCUGGGCUUGUUCAGCCUCAAAAAGAGAUGAAUGAGAGGGGACCUCAUCAAUGUUUAUAAAUAUCUGAAGGGAAGAUUUUGUCAAGAAGAUACAACCAGGCUCUUCUCAGUGGUGUCAAGCAAUAGGACAAGAGGCAAUGGGCAGAAAGUGAUGCACAGGAAGUUCCACCUGAACACAAGGAAGAACUUCUUUACUGUGCAGGUGAGUGUGCGCUGGAACAGAUUGCCCAGAGAGGUUGUUAAGCCUCCCUUACUGGAGAUAUUGAAGAACCAUCUGGAUGCAAUCAUGUGCAAUGUGCUCUAGGAUAGUCCUGCUUGAGUAGUGAGGUUGCACCAGAUGACCCGCUGUGGUCCCUUCCAAUCGGACCGAUUCUGUGAUUCUGUGGCAACAAAUUUCGAUUACCCCAGAACACCCAGAAUAAUGCUGUGUCAACAGUGACUGCUGUCUACUGCUAACUUGGAACCCAGGUAAAUUGUCAUUGCCUAAAACUAAAUUAUGUAUGAAACUGCCUACAAAGAGCAUGAUGUGUCCUGGCAAGAUAACCUAUGCGAGCACCAGUUAUCAAGUAUUAUUCAAAUCAAUAUGCAGUCAAGAAGAAUUGUUUUACUACUGAGAUUCAGCUUGCAGACUGGACUGCUCCCAGAAGCUUUCUUUUUACCACACCCAGUUGUUACCUGGCUGGAGGAAAAACCACCAUAUGGGUUCUGUUGUUUGACAAGCCAGUACACAAUGCGGGAAAUGUAGGACAAGUCUUCUGGAGCAAAUUUGGUUCUGUUGAGCAAAGCCAGGAGCACAUAGCUGGUAAUUUCAACCUCAGCAGAAGGGGCACGGGAAAGGAAGUCAGGGAAAUGUUCUGCUGGUGGCUUAUUUUCUCUCUGCCAAUAAACUGAACCACCUGAAAACAGAAAAGUGGGGUGUGAAAAGAAUGGAAAAAUUACUUGCUGUUUUACUCAUUGCAGUAUCAUUGCAGGAAAUAGAUAUACAAUUCUGUCUCUCUCUCUCUCUUCAGGAAAUUUUUUAAGCUAUUGGUGUUCCAAAUGGGGUAAGUUUUACUUCCAGGAUGGAAAAGAAAACAGAAAAGGAUGGAAAGGGAAUAAAUAAAAGGAGGCUGUAUAAGUCAGAGACAGACUGAAAUGAAGGCAGGGCAGCAAAAGGAUGCUAAGGCAGCCACAGACAGAAGCACAUAACAUAGUCAAGGGAACUGGGCUUGUUCAGCGUGUAGAAGAGGAACCUAAUCAGGAAAUUAGGUACAGUCUUCCAGUACCUUGGACUGAGACUUGCAGGGGACUCUCUCUCCACCUAAAUUAUUUUAUAAUUCUAGGAAGAUCAGGCCACAGCUCAAACUUUUGUGAAGCCAAAACACACAGACAGAAAAACUCAGAGGUAAAUUCAGUAGCAUAGCAGGCAUGAAAUGGGAAGGGAGAAGCAAACAUGAGAAAACUGUGCAUCAGAAUAGCUUACACCACACAACAGGCUAUUCCAUCAGCUGUAUUGCUUGUACCAUGGCCAUACUGCCCUUACCAUCUCUGACAGCUCUCGUGUCCAGCUUCUCCAGGAAGAACUGGUGUCUUUUCUCUAUGCCAGCUAAGCCGUAAGCAUAGGCAAAGAGGGCCUGGUUAUACAGGUUGUGGACCCCAUUGCUAAAUGCAGUCUCCAAACAGUUCAUGCCGCUCCGAACGACAGGAUGCUGAUAAUGCAAAACACAGUAGGCUUGUCAGGUACUUGGAUUUGUGUCUCUGCUUCUCUUUAAAUACUUCCAUCACGCUUAAGAUGCAAUCACUGACCUUUCAUGCUAGAAAUACACGAUCCAUGGCACAUUUAAGGGCCUACAGUGUGUAUCAGACCUUUCAGCCUUACAGACUGUCUCUGCAAGAGCUACUUCAUCUCAGACAUUACCAGCACACUACUUGCCAUGUCUUGUCUACGCAGCUUUCCUUAAACAUAUGGCACCAGGUUUUUCUAAAGAUACUGGAAACUAAAUUAAUGUUGCUGAAGAACUAUUUGAUUCUGCACAAUGUUUUCAUCCUGGUCUCAGGUACUUAACUGAUAUCCCAUACUGUAGUAACUGAAAAAUGUGCAAUAAAUCAGCACAUCUAGAAUAUAUUUGUCAGCUUGGGAACAGUUCUCCUCUUCCCCAUUAUAAAAGAACAAAGUCAACAUAAAAACAGAAAAUGCAGGCAGUAUACUAUGCAGAACAGAACUUGGAUGCCAUUCCCCUGUGUCUAGUAUUCCAACCAGCAACUCGUCAUUUUCUUCCUCUAACAAUUCCAUAGGGAAAUGGAAACACAGCCUGGAGCUAAAUGUGCAGAGUGAUUUUGUAGGACUGAAGGUUUUGGACUGGGCAAAUUCAGAGAAAAAUCUAAAGUGGACUCUGGAUGGGGUGGGAAAAUUCAGUCUGGAUUUUGCAAUUACUUAGACUACUAUUACAUAAAACAACUGGAUUCCGCAGAGGUUUUUUAAAUUAAUCCAAAGGCAUUGGAUACAUAACUGAUUUGUAACACUCAUCAAAUACUUAUGGCUACUUCAGUUCUGGAAACUACUGUCUACAGGCUGCUACUGUCCUGCAAUCAUUAUUCGCGUUCCACAUUGUUAAAUAAUACAGAUGCGAGGACUGUGACUUGUGCACUCUUUGACAAAUGCCUGACUGUACCAACACAGCACCAAAUACCUACUGCAGUAGAGUGUCCAGCCUCCAGCAAUGCUGCCACCACGUAGGCUGUGAGUGAGUAUUCAACCUCUUCUCCACCCUGAUGAAAAAGAAGCAAAGAAUUGGUUAGUACAAAUAUCCUAGAAAGAAACAACAUAAUUAAUUCACAGCUCAUAUAUCAGUUAGAUUUGAGAUCAGAAGUAAUUUCUGUCUCCCUGUGUGAAGAUCAAGCUCACUUAAUAUAAAGCUAAAAUUAUUUAAUGCAUUUUCUUGACUUUUGCAUAUCACAUAUCAUGUGAUAAAGCACAUGAUAACCUGUAGCUGAGCACAUAACACAGUAAUGGAAAAUAAAACCUGAGACUUAUAACUCAGAAAGUUCUAAUUGUUUUUACCUCAUCAUCAAUUGCAGACAUAAGAAUCAUGCUCUGCUUGUAUAUGAGAGACACAAGAGAACAGUACUAGGAAGAGUAAGGGUGUGGUGACAAGCUUGCAUCUCAGAAAUUGUCCAAAUCAAUCCUAGCAGCAGGACUGGAAGUUUGGGACUAUACUCAGUUACCUUCAAAGCAUUGUUGAAAUGCGAACCAGCAUUUUCAAAGCAGCCAUCUGACUUCUGCUUGCUUGCCAGCCAGAUCAAAGUUUGAGACUGGACAUUGUCAUCAAUGUAGAUGUAGCGUUUGGCCUGUGCAAAUGACUUAUACACAAAGGCAGUGAGCCUGCAGGUGGUCCAGAAACAGAAAGUAGGUAUGGUGUGAACAAGACCAAGAAGACUUACCAGUGCAUAGGAUGUGCAUAGAAAAUGACAUAAAGUGAACUUCAUAAUGUUUGAGGUUAAAGAAGCAAGUGUUUUCUAAGUUUUAAAUAAAUAACAUAGAUAAAAUCCUGAUAUUAAAAACAGACCUGAUAUUUCUCCUGAAAAAAACAAGUGCUGAAAGAAUUUUUCAGAGCAGGGGUAAAGUAUAGACACAGCUCAAUGAUUGAUGUUACUAAUUUCUAAGCUUAAUUAAUAGAAUUAUGAAACAAACUAGGUCAGAAGUUCAAAGUUCUGUCAGGUUACUCAGUCUUGUCCAAUCAUGUGAAAGUCUAUAGGAAUAGAGAUACCCACAUCUUCUCUGGACAUUUGACUCAAUGCUGCAGCCUUCUCCUGGGCAAGAUUUUUUUCCCUUCUACCCAGUUAGAGUUGUUUUUGUUGCCAUUUGAGUAAGGACAUACUCUUGACUUUACUCUGUGUACCCCUGGCAAGAGUCUGACUCUGUGUUUUCCACAGUCCCUAUCUAGAUAGCAGAAAGCUUUUCCUAGGUUUCCCGUUAGCUUUCUCUUCUACAUGCUGAACAAACCCAGAUCCUUCAGUUUCCCCUUGAACAUUAUGUACUCCAGCUCCCAGUCAUCAUACCAUCCUUUUGUUGUACUCUUUCCAGUCUAUUAAUCUCUCCUUUACUAGGGAAUUCAAAUUAAUUGAGCUAUAUCCAUUUAGACUAUUAAAAAUAAGAAUCAUUGAAUACAUUGAUUGUUUUUCAAAGCCUAACGAUCCACUGUUAGGGAAAUAGAAGGUAUCAUCACUUACCAUACAUUCCCUUCCCUAUCUCGUCUCCCAAAGGAGCUGUAGGAUCCAUCCCCGUGUUUGUAUGACAGCUGUUUUUGGUAACCUGAAAACAUAAUAAAGAAGACACAUUUUCUAAUCACAGAAAAA
Long non-coding RNA from Myiozetetes cayanensis, 8953 nucleotides. RefSeq lists it as uncharacterized. Lineage: Eukaryota; Metazoa; Chordata; Aves; Passeriformes; Tyrannidae. The record is from RefSeq and is a predicted model, not a curated record. The transcript is spliced from 6 exons.